Molecule: transfer RNA, 76 nt
Filed under: Oscillospiraceae bacterium
Lineage: Bacteria; Bacillati; Bacillota; Clostridia; Eubacteriales; Oscillospiraceae
Description: tRNA-Pro
Rfam family: tRNA
About the family: Transfer RNA (tRNA) molecules are approximately 80 nucleotides in length. Their secondary structure includes four short double-helical elements and three loops (D, anti-codon, and T loops). Further hydrogen bonds mediate the characteristic L-shaped molecular structure. tRNAs have two regions of fundamental functional importance: the anti-codon, which is responsible for specific mRNA codon recognition, and the 3' end, to which the tRNAs corresponding amino acid is attached (by aminoacyl-tRNA synthetases). tRNAs cope with the degeneracy of the genetic code in two manners: having more than one tRNA (with a specific anti-codon) for a particular amino acid; and 'wobble' base-pairing, i.e. permitting non-standard base-pairing at the 3rd anti-codon position.
Source: RNAcentral
CCGGGUGUGGCGCAGCCGGUAGCGCGCUUGACUGGGGGUCAAGAGGCCGCAGGUUCAAAUCCUGUCACUCGGACCA